This 253-nucleotide ribosomal RNA is filed under the name uncultured bacterium. RNAcentral describes it as "partial 16S ribosomal RNA". It matches the Rfam family "Bacterial small subunit ribosomal RNA", at positions 524 to 776 of the family's 1533-position model. The record is from RNAcentral.
UACGUAGGGUGCGAGCGUUAAUCGGAAUUACUGGGCGUAAAGCGUGCGCAGGCGGUUCGUUGUGUCGGUGGGGAAAGCCCCGGGCUUAACCUGGGAAUGGCCAUGGAAACUGGCGAACUGGAGUGUGGCAGAGGGGGGUGGAAUUCCGCGUGUAGCAGUGAAAUGCGUAGAGAUGCGGGGGAACACCGAUGGCGAAGGCGGCGAGCUGGUCCAUUACUGACGCUGAGGCGCGACAGCGUGGGGAGCAAACAGG